RNAcentral lists this transfer RNA (72 nucleotides) under Urocitellus parryii (Arctic ground squirrel). RNAcentral's name for it is "Spermophilus parryii (Arctic ground squirrel) tRNA". It matches the Rfam family "tRNA". Rfam says of the family: Transfer RNA (tRNA) molecules are approximately 80 nucleotides in length. Their secondary structure includes four short double-helical elements and three loops (D, anti-codon, and T loops). Further hydrogen bonds mediate the characteristic L-shaped molecular structure. tRNAs have two regions of fundamental functional importance: the anti-codon, which is responsible for specific mRNA codon recognition, and the 3' end, to which the tRNAs corresponding amino acid is attached (by aminoacyl-tRNA synthetases). tRNAs cope with the degeneracy of the genetic code in two manners: having more than one tRNA (with a specific anti-codon) for a particular amino acid; and 'wobble' base-pairing, i.e. permitting non-standard base-pairing at the 3rd anti-codon position. RNAcentral also lists the same sequence under 2 other names. The record is from Rfam by way of RNAcentral. Lineage: Eukaryota; Metazoa; Chordata; Mammalia; Rodentia; Sciuridae.
UAGGGUGUAGCUCAGUGGUAGAGCACUCGCCUAGCAUGUGCAAGGCCUUGGGUUCGAUCCUCAGCACCACAU